GCAGUCGAGCGGUACAGAUCUAGCUUGCUAGAUGCUGACGAGCGGCGGACGGGUGAGUAACGCGUAGGAAUCUACCGAGUAGUGGGGGAUAGCCCAGAGAAAUUUGGAUUAAUACCGCAUACGCCCUACGGGGGAAAGGAGGGGAUCUUCGGACCUUUCGCUAUUUGAUGAGCCUGCGUAAGAUUAGCUAGUUGGUAGGGUAAAGGCCUACCAAGGCGACGAUCUUUAGCUGUUCUGAGAGGAUGAUCAGCCACACUGGGACUGAGACACGGCCCAGACUCCUACGGGAGGCAGCAGUGGGGAAUAUUGGACAAUGGGGGCAACCCUGAUCCAGCCAUGCCGCGUGUGUGAAGAAGGCCUUCGGGUUGUAAAGCACUUUCAGAUGUGAGGAAAGGAUAGUAGCUAAUAACUGCUAUCUGUGACGUUAACAUCAGAAGAAGGACCGGCUAACUCCGUGCCAGCAGCCGCGGUAAUACGGAGGGUCCGAGCGUUAAUCGGAAUUACUGGGCGUAAAGCGCGCGUAGGCGGCUAAGUCAGUCAGAUGUGAAAGCCCCGGGCUCAACCUGGGAAUUGCACCUGAUACUGCUUGGCUAGAGUACAGAAGAGGGUGGUGGAAUUUCCUG
This 623-nucleotide ribosomal RNA is filed under the name uncultured bacterium. RNAcentral's name for it is "bacterial SSU rRNA". It matches the Rfam family "Bacterial small subunit ribosomal RNA", at positions 57 to 673 of the family's 1533-position model. The record is from RNAcentral.